Molecule: ribosomal RNA, 453 nt
Filed under: uncultured Porphyromonadaceae bacterium
Lineage: Bacteria; Pseudomonadati; Bacteroidota; Bacteroidia; Bacteroidales; Porphyromonadaceae
Description: partial 16S ribosomal RNA
Rfam family: Bacterial small subunit ribosomal RNA
Source: RNAcentral
ACGGAAGGCAGCAGUGAGGAAUAUUGGUCAAUGGACGGAAGUCUGAACCAGCCAUGCCGCGUGCAGGAAUAAGGCCCUAUGGGUCGUAAACUGCUUUUGUGGUGGAGCAAUAAGGCGUACGUGUACGUCGAUGAGAGUACAUCACGAAUAAGCAUCGGCUAACUCCGUGCCAGCAGCCGCGGUAAUACGGAGGAUGCGAGCGUUAUCCGGAUUUAUUGGGUUUAAAGGGUGCGUAGGCGGGCUAUUAAGUCAGCGGUCAAAUCGUGUUGCUCAACAAUACUUAGCCGUUGAAACUGGUGGUCUUGAGUGUAAAUGAGGUAGGCGGAAUGUGACGUGUAGCGGUGAAAUGCUUAGAUAUGUCACAGAACCCCGAUUGCGAAGGCAGCUUACCAAGAUACAACUGACGCUGAGGCACGAAAGCGUGGGUAUCAAACAGGAUUAGAUACCCUGGUA